RNAcentral lists this ribosomal RNA (748 nucleotides) under uncultured archaeon. RNAcentral's name for it is "bacterial SSU rRNA". It matches the Rfam family "Archaeal small subunit ribosomal RNA", at positions 53 to 787 of the family's 1478-position model. The record is from RNAcentral.
GCGAGUUGAUGGGAUACCUAAAUUUCCCAUGGCAAACUGCUCAGUAACACAUGAUCAACUUACCCUAUAGAGAAAAAUAACCUCGGGAAACUGAGGAUAAUACUUCAUAGUUGAAUAGGCUUGGAAAAGUUUUUCAAUAAAAGGGAUAAAAAAAAUGGUUUUUAUCUGCUAUAGGAUAGGAUCGUGGACGAUUAUGGUUGUUGGUGAGGUAACGGCUCACCAAGCCGAUAAUCGAUAGGGGCCGUGAGAGCGGGAGCCCCGAGAUGGGUACUGAGACAACGACCCAGGCCUUACGAGGCGCAGCAGGCGCGGAACCUCCGCAAUACACGAAAGUGUGACGGGGUUACCCAAAGUGUUCAAUUCUGAACUGUGGUAGGUGAGUAAUGUUCCCUACUAGAAAGGAGAGGGCAAGGCUGGUGCCAGCCGCCGCGGUAAAACCAGCUCUUCAAGUGGUCGGGAUAAUUAUUGGGCUUAAAGUGUCCGUAGCCGGUUUAGUAAGUUCCUGGUAAAAUCGGGUAGCUUAACUAUCUGUAUGCUAGGAAUACUGCUAUACUAGAGGGCGGGAGAGGUCUGAGGUACUACAGGGGUAGGGGUGAAAUCUUAUAAUCCUUGUAGGACCACCAGUGGCGAAGGCGUCAGACUGGAACGCGCCUGACGGUGAGGGACGAAAGCCAGGGGAGCGAACCGGAUUAGAUACCCGGGUAGUCCUGGCCGUAAACGAUGCAUACUAGGUGAUGGUACGGCCAUG